AAUAGGACAAUGACAAGUUAGAUUUUUCCUCUUAAUUUUCAGGUUUUUCCUUCUGAAAAAAUUCAAAUCCAACUAAAAAUGCUAAAAAUUAGGAGGAAAAAAUCUGAUUUGUCAUUCUCCUAUU
Gossypium arboreum is the source of this 124-nucleotide microRNA precursor. It matches the Rfam family "MIR7504 microRNA precursor family". Lineage: Eukaryota; Viridiplantae; Streptophyta; Magnoliopsida; Malvales; Malvaceae. The record is from Rfam.